AUGAUGGCAACGGGAGAUAUCAAGUGAAUUCAUGUAUGAAUCAUUCAUUUUGAUAGCCGAAGGAGCAAUAUGAAGAUUGCCGAAGCUUCAUAGAAACUCUCAGGCAAAAGUAUCGUUGUUGGAUG
This is a regulatory RNA element of 125 nucleotides. It matches the Rfam family "Glycine riboswitch aptamer". Rfam says of the family: This family represents the bacterial glycine riboswitch. The record is from Rfam.